RNAcentral lists this ribosomal RNA (420 nucleotides) under Staphylococcus pseudintermedius. RNAcentral's name for it is "partial 23S ribosomal RNA". It matches the Rfam family "Bacterial large subunit ribosomal RNA", at positions 677 to 1094 of the family's 2925-position model. The record is from RNAcentral. Lineage: Bacteria; Bacillati; Bacillota; Bacilli; Caryophanales; Staphylococcaceae.
GCGAGUCUGAAUAGGGCGAAUGAGUAUUUGGUCGUAGACCCGAAACCAGGUGAUCUACCCUUGGUCAGGUUGAAGUUCAGGUAACACUGAAUGGAGGACCGAACCGACUUACGUUGAAAAGUGAGCGGAUGAACUGAGGGUAGCGGAGAAAUUCCAAUCGAACUUGGAGAUAGCUGGUUCUCUCCGAAAUAGCUUUAGGGCUAGCCUCAAGUGAUGAUUAUUGGAGGUAGAGCACUGUUUGGACGAGGGGCCCCUCUCGGGUUACCGAAUUCAGACAAACUCCGAAUGCCAAAUAAUUUAACUUGGGAGUCAGAAUGUGGGUGAUAAGGUCCAUAUUCGAAAGGGAAACAGCCCAGACCACCAGCUAAGGUCCCAAAAUAUAUGUUAAGUGGAAAAGGAUGUGGCGUUGCCCAGACAACU